RNAcentral lists this ribosomal RNA (441 nucleotides) under uncultured bacterium. RNAcentral describes it as "bacterial SSU rRNA". It matches the Rfam family "Bacterial small subunit ribosomal RNA", at positions 958 to 1397 of the family's 1533-position model. The record is from RNAcentral.
AACGCGAAGAACCUUACCUACCCUUGACAUCCUGGGAAGACCGUAGAGAUAUGGUUGUGCCGAAAGGAACCCGGAGACAGGUGCUGCAUGGCUGUCGUCAGCUCGUGUUGUGAGAUGUUGGGUUAAGUCCCGUAACGAGCGCAACCCUCGUCCCAUGUUGCCAGCGGGUUAUGCCGGGGACUCAUGGGAGACUGCCGGGGUCAACUCGGAGGAAGGUGGGGAUGACGUCAAGUCAUCAUGCCCCUUAUGUCUUGGGCUGCAAACAUGCUACAAUGGCCGGUACAGAGGGCUGCGAGCCUGUAAGGGUGAGCGAAUCCCGGAAAGCCGGUCUCAGUUCGGAUCGGGGUCUGCAACUCGGCCCCGUGAAGCCGGAGUCGCUAGUAAUCGCGGAUCAGCAACGCCGCGGUGAAUACGUUCCCGGGCCUUGUACACACCGACAUA